CUACGGGUGGCUGCAGUGGGGAAUUUUGCGCAAUGGGCGAAAGCCUGACGCAGCAACGCCGCGUGAGCGAUGAAGGUUUUCGGAUCGUAAAGCUCUGUCAGAUGGGAAGAAGAACAUGACGGUACCAUCAGAGGAAGCCCCGGCUAACUCCGUGCCAGGCAGCCGCGGUAAUACGGAGGGGGCGAGCGUUGUUCGGAAUUAUUGGGCGUAAAGCGUAUGUAGGUGGUUUGACAAGUCAGACGUGUAAGCCCACGGCUCAACCGUGGAAUUGCGUUUGAAACUAUCUAACUUGAGUGCAGAAGAGGAAAGCGGAAUUUCCAGUGUAGCGGUGAAAUGCGUUGAUAUUGGGAAGAACACCUGCGGCGAAGGCGGCUUUCUGGUCUGCUACUGACACUGAGAUACGAAAGCCAGGGGAGCAAACGGGAUUAGAUACCCCGGUAGUC
RNAcentral lists this ribosomal RNA (443 nucleotides) under uncultured bacterium. RNAcentral describes it as "partial 16S ribosomal RNA". It matches the Rfam family "Bacterial small subunit ribosomal RNA", at positions 339 to 795 of the family's 1533-position model. The record is from RNAcentral.